RNAcentral lists this unclassified non-coding RNA (454 nucleotides) under Hevea brasiliensis (rubber tree). The record is from RNAcentral. Lineage: Eukaryota; Viridiplantae; Streptophyta; Magnoliopsida; Malpighiales; Euphorbiaceae.
AUUGGGAUAACAAAGUUAUUGACAUCCAACAGAAAACCAAAGAGAUGGCACUUCUCUCGUCGCUCAAGCAAAUUGCUGGCAGUGAUUCUAGCUCAAUAUCUCAAGCUUUUAUGCCUGAGUUUUUCAAGCUGGUUUUAGGCACCCUUUCAUUGCCAAUUGACCUUCCUUGCACAAAUUAUCGUCGCGGACUCCAGGCUAGGAAGAAUAUUGUGAGCAUGUUGAGACAACUAGUAGAAGAACGAAGAGCAUCGAAAGAAACCCACCAGGACUUGCUUGGUUGCCUGAUGAAAAGUGAAGAGAGUAGAUACAAAUUAACUGAUGAAGAAAUAAUUGAUCAAAUAAUCACCAUUUUAUACUCUGGUUAUGAAACUGUUUCUACUACUUCAAUGAUGGCAGUAAAAUACUUGCAUGAUCACCCCAGAGUUCUUCAAGAACUAAGAAAAGAGCAUUUAGC